Molecule: long non-coding RNA, 573 nt
Filed under: Mytilus galloprovincialis (Mediterranean mussel)
Lineage: Eukaryota; Metazoa; Mollusca; Bivalvia; Mytilida; Mytilidae
Source: RNAcentral
GGUUACAGUAGAUAAUUCCAAAAUUCUAAAAGCAGGCAUCUCAUUGCCAUAUGUCAUGUUAUAUAUCAAUACAGUUUCAUUGAUCUCUAUGCAAUAUUCUUAAAGAAAAUGCAGCUUUUAUGUAUUUGUCCAUAGGCUCAAUGUUAAACAUUUGCCCUGUUUCCAUGACAAUGGCGGCCAUUUUGGAAUUUCUAAAUAUUGUCUUGACAUCUAGGCAUACCAAGGAACAUUUCCAUAAAGUUUCAUCCAGCUAGGUCUUAUAAUGAAAGAUUUAGAAUUUUGAAAAUUUUUUCACUUUUUUGCAGUUUCCAUGGAAACGGCGGCCAUUUAAAAAAAAUUCCAGAGUCAGAUGCACAACUUCACAUGGGGGUCCUCAUUAUGUUAUAGUUCCAACAUUAUUGGAUCACUCAAUUCUUAGAAACACGAUGGACAAAAUGUGUGGAAGAAUAAUAAAAAUAAGAAAAAAAAGAAACGUAGAAUAACAAUACGUCACCCCAACUCCGUUGAGGGUGCCAUAAUAAGAACUGAGCAAAAACAAUAAGUCUCCAAACUUUGUUUGGGAGACUUAAUUAA